Molecule: ribosomal RNA, 465 nt
Filed under: Vreelandella stevensii
Lineage: Bacteria; Pseudomonadati; Pseudomonadota; Gammaproteobacteria; Oceanospirillales; Halomonadaceae
Description: partial 16S ribosomal RNA
Rfam family: Bacterial small subunit ribosomal RNA
Source: RNAcentral
CCUACGGGGGGCAGCAGUGGGGAAUAUUGGACAAUGGGGGCAACCCUGAUCCAGCCAUGCCGCGUGUGAGAAGAAGGCCCUCGGGUUGUAAAGCACUUUCAGUGAGGAAGAACGCCUGGUGGUUAAUACCCAUCAGGAAAGACAUCACUCACAGAAGAAGCACCGGCUAACUCCGUGCCAGCAGCCGCGGUAAUACGGAGGGUGCGAGCGUUAAUCGGAAUUACUGGGCGUAAAGCGCGCGUAGGUGGCUUGAUAAGCCGGUUGUGAAAGCCCCGGGCUCAACCUGGGAACGGCAUCCGGAACUGUCAAGCUAGAGUGCAGGAGAGGAAGGUAGAAUUCCCGGUGUAGCGGUGAAAUGCGUAGAGAUCGGGAGGAAUACCAGUGGCGAAGGCGGCCUUCUGGACUGACACUGACACUGAGGUGCGAAAGCGUGGGUAGCAAACAGGAUUAGAUACCCGAGUAGUC